RNAcentral lists this ribosomal RNA (254 nucleotides) under uncultured bacterium. RNAcentral's name for it is "partial 16S ribosomal RNA". It matches the Rfam family "Bacterial small subunit ribosomal RNA", at positions 524 to 776 of the family's 1533-position model. The record is from RNAcentral.
GACAGAGGAUGCAAGCGUUAUCCGGAAUGAUUGGGCGUAAAGCGUCUGUAGGUGGCUUUUUAAGUCCGCCGUCAAAUCCCAGGGCUCAACCCUGGACAGGCGGUGGAAACUACCAAGCUUGAGUACAGUAGGGGCGGAGGGAAUUUCCGGUGGAGCGGUGAAAUGCAUAGAUAUCGGGAAGAACACCAACGGCGAAAGCACUCCGCUGGGCUGGAUACUGACACUGACAGACGAAAGCUAGGGUAGCGAAAGGG